This 508-nucleotide ribosomal RNA is filed under the name uncultured bacterium. RNAcentral's name for it is "partial 16S ribosomal RNA". It matches the Rfam family "Bacterial small subunit ribosomal RNA", at positions 28 to 507 of the family's 1533-position model. The record is from RNAcentral.
GACGAACGCUGGCGGCGUGCUUAACACAUGCAAGUCGAACGGGAUAAUUUGAGAGCUUGCUCUUAGAGAAUCUAGUGGCAAACGGGUGAGUAACACGUAGACAACCUGCCGACAGGAUGGGGACAACAUUCCGAAAGGAAUGCUAAUACCGAAUGAAGCGGAGGAGAGGCAUCCCUCCUCCGUGAAAGAUGGCCUCUGAAUAUGCUAUCACCUGUCGAUGGGUCUGCGUCUGAUUAGCUAGUUGGUGAGGUAACGGCUCACCAAGGCGACGAUCAGUAGCCGGUCUGAGAGGAUGAACGGCCACAUUGGGACUGAGACACGGCCCAGACUCCUACGGGAGGCAGCAGUGGGGAAUCUUCCGCAAUGGGCGCAAGACUGACGGAGCAACGCCGCGUGAGUGAAGAAGGUCGUCGGAUCGUAAAGCUCUGUUGACGGGGACGAACGUGCGAAGGGUGAAUAAUCCUUUGUAAUGACGGUACCUGUCGAGGAAGCCACGGCUAACUACGUG